RNAcentral lists this ribosomal RNA (428 nucleotides) under Bacteroidota bacterium. RNAcentral's name for it is "Bacteroidetes bacterium partial 16S ribosomal RNA". It matches the Rfam family "Bacterial small subunit ribosomal RNA", at positions 355 to 776 of the family's 1533-position model. The record is from RNAcentral. Lineage: Bacteria; Pseudomonadati; Bacteroidota.
UAGGGAAUCUUCCGCAAUGGACGCAAGUCUGACGGAGCAACGCCGCGUGAGCGAAGAAGGAUUUCGGUUCGUAAAACUCUGUUGUUAGAGAAGAACAGCGCAUAGAGUAACUGUUAUGCGUGUGACGGUAUCUAACCAGAAAGGGACGGCUAACUACGUGCCAGCAGCCGCGGUAAUACGUAGGUCCCGAGCGUUGUCCGGAUUUAUUGGGCGUAAAGCGAGCGCAGGCGGUUAGAUAAGUCUGAAGUUAAAGGCAGUGGCUCAACCAUUGUAGGCUUUGGAAACUGUUUAACUUGAGUGCAGAAGGGGAGAGUGGAAUUCCAUGUGUAGCCGUGAAAUGCGUAGAUAUAUGGAGGAACACCGGUGGCGAAAGCGGCUCUCUGGUCUGUAACUGACGCUGAGGCUCGAAAGCGUGGGGAGCGAACAGG